UAAAAUACAAUUUUAUUCAUCCACAUCUAUGAUGUUUAUUUUUACUUUUAUGCUUUUUCUGAAAAUGGUAAUCAUAAAAACCAUAAAUAAAUAAUAAUCUUUCCAUCUGCAUAAUAUUUAUUUACACUCCAUUUCUCUAAAAUCAAAAUAUCAAAUCAUUAUCCAGGUUGGUUCUCAAACCCAUUGUAUGUAAUGAUCCCACUCCCUCU
Molecule: long non-coding RNA, 209 nt
Filed under: Lathyrus oleraceus (garden pea)
Lineage: Eukaryota; Viridiplantae; Streptophyta; Magnoliopsida; Fabales; Fabaceae
Description: Pisum sativum (pea) long non-coding RNA (PSAT_LNC039534)
Source: RNAcentral